CAGUCGCCGCGGUAAAACGUAGGGCGCGAGCGUUAAUCGGAAUUACUGGGCGUAAAGCGUGCGCAGGCGGUCGUGUAAGACAGGUGUGAAAUCCCCGGGCUUAACCUGGGAACUGCGCUUGUGACUGCACAGCUAGAGUAUGGCAGAGGGGGGUGGAAUUCCACGUGUAGCAGUGAAAUGCGUAGAGAUGUGGAGGAACACCGAUGGCGAAGGCAGCCCCCUGGGCCAAUACUGACGCUCAUGCACGAAAGCGUGGGGAGCAAACAGGAUUAGAUACCCCCGUAGUCCCUGUCUCUUAUAC
RNAcentral lists this ribosomal RNA (301 nucleotides) under uncultured bacterium. Its description in RNAcentral is "partial 16S ribosomal RNA". It matches the Rfam family "Bacterial small subunit ribosomal RNA", at positions 509 to 807 of the family's 1533-position model. The record is from RNAcentral.